AGAGUUUGAUCAUGGCUCAGGAUGAACGCUGGCGGCGUGCAUAAUACAUGCAAGUCGAGCGAACUGAUUAGAAGCUUGCUUCUAUGACGUUAGCGGCGGACGGGUGAGUAACACGUGGGCAACCUGCCUGUAAGACUGGGAUAACUUCGGGAAACCGAAGCUAAUACCGGAUAGGAUCUUCUCCUUCAUGGGAGAUGAUUGAAAGAUGGUUUCGGCUAUCACUUACAGAUGGGCCCGCGGUGCAUUAGCUAGUUGGUGAGGUAACGGCUCACCAAGGCAACGAUGCAUAGCCGACCUGAGAGGGUGAUCGGCCACACUGGGACUGAGACACGGCCCAGACUCCUACGGGAGGCAGCAGUAGGGAAUCUUCCGCAAUGGACGAAAGUCUGACGGAGCAACGCCGCGUGAGUGAUGAAGGCUUUCGGGUCGUAAAACUCUGUUGUUAGGGAAGAACAUGUACGAGAGUAACUGCUCGUACCUUGACGGUACCUAACCAGAAAGCCACGGCUAACUACGUGCCAGCAGCCGCGGUAAUACGUAGGUGGCAAGCGUUAUCCGGAAUUAUUGGGCGUAAAGCGCGCGCAGGCGGUUUCUUAAGUCUGAUGUGAAAGCCCACGGCUCAACCGUGGAUGGUCAUUGGAAA
Molecule: ribosomal RNA, 643 nt
Filed under: uncultured marine bacterium
Lineage: Bacteria
Description: bacterial SSU rRNA
Rfam family: Bacterial small subunit ribosomal RNA
Source: RNAcentral